This is a long non-coding RNA of Onychostoma macrolepis, 196 nucleotides long. RefSeq lists it as uncharacterized. The record is from RefSeq and is a predicted model, not a curated record. The transcript has 3 exons. NCBI's taxonomy places the organism in Eukaryota, Metazoa, Chordata, Actinopteri, Cypriniformes, Cyprinidae.
AGGAAUUGGAAAAGUUACCAGAUAUUGAAAGCUGUGAUUCAAAUAUAAAUGAAGUCUGGACAGAGAAGACUGCUGAGUGUCCACUGUGUAAGAAAACAUUUGACAGUGAUGUUAUUGAGAUACACGCAGCCAACUGCGGAUUACGAACUGCAGAAUAUGAUAAUAACUUCAGUGACCCAAUAAAUACACUUCAAAG